Non-coding RNA from Labrus bergylta (ballan wrasse), 475 nucleotides. The record is from RefSeq and is a predicted model, not a curated record. Lineage: Eukaryota; Metazoa; Chordata; Actinopteri; Labriformes; Labridae.
GGCCGAGAGAGUACAACCCUGCAGAUAUUAUUCAGAACAGACUGAGACGUAGCGUGAGGCUGUAUCGUUAGCGGUGUCAUAGGUUUGACAGGUUUUCUUUGUUCCUUUUUCAGAGCACAUGAGUUAUUAAUGUCUGUCAGGACCCAGAAUCUUAAAAAGUGGGGAAUCCACUCCCACGCACUCAGCAGCACAAAAACAAUUCACUAGAAAGAUUCAGAUUCAGAUUUGACUCCCUGCAUGUGGCCUCUCAAACAUCCAGAGGAGCAGGAUCAUUUCCUUUCUCCGACAAAUGAUCCCUUGUUAUUUCCUGUCCCUGAUCACAUAAAUGAUUGAAUCCUUGUUGAUAUAAAGUGCGAUCGCUGCGACCCCCCCCUCCGCCCCGAUCACCUCCAGUCCAGCUCAGCAGGGUUCAGAUCCAGACUCAGAAACCCACUCCUCAUCACAUCCUGACUUCUUCUAUCACCACCAGGGUCUA